AUUUAUCAUGGUAUCAUGCAAAACACGAGAUGUUAGCUAGUUACAUACUCCCUCCAAUCUUACAUUUCACUUAAGACAAUGUAAAUUAAAAGAACAAAUUUAGUACUUAUAAUCAUUUGAUCUGAAAUCUUUUGCUACUUCUUGUUGUCGCAAUAUUAAUAUUUGUCCAUCUUUAUUAUAAGAAGCAUAAAAAGGGAAAAAAUUCAUAAAUAGCUAAGAUGCGAAAUAUAGUAGACCUCCUUAGCUAGAGUUUAGUUUUAAUGGCUAAACUGAUUCACGUUUGUAUAAUUUGGAUUUUUUAAUUGAUUAUACAAAUUGUUUACUAAGUUCCUUUAAGUGAUGGGGCAAUUUCGCUUAAAAAAGGAAAACGGUCCCUAAUUCAUGGUACUUAUAUCUAAUUAAAAUUUCUUACCUAAUAUGACUUCUUCUUCUUUUUGACGGAAAAAAACACAACUCAUUGUAUAUAACAAUUGUAUGUGUAAAUAAUUGAAUCAAGUUUACAAAAAAAAUUAUAUUUGAAGUAUACUCGUUUGUAUAAAUAAUAUGAUGUAUAGUAGCAGUUUGUUUAUGUUUAUGAAUAAAUUGUAUAUUAUAGGUUUUGUAUAAAUUGAGUCAUAUAAAUUAAACAAGUUGUACGUAUAUCAUACUUGUAUUUGUAUUUGAAAUAUAUAAAGCAUACUUGUAUAUGUCUUAAAAUUAUGAAAUAUAGACAAAUAAAACACAAGUUUAAAUCAAAUAAAUAUACAUACAAAUUAACUAAUAAAAUUAAUUGUACAAUAAUACAAUACUGGAGUUGUGUAAUUUUAAAUUUAAAUUUUCAAAAUUGGAUUAAUAAAUUUUUCAAAAUUUGAAUUUGAAUUUGGUUAAAUUAUUUAAAGGGAAGUGAGAGAUUUUAGGAGAUAGAUUAGUGGGUGUGAUAAGAGAGAGAGUAGGUGGUUUUGAGUUGUAUAAAAGAAGAAAGAGAAACUUACACGUUUUGAUACAAAACACGCACUGUAUAAUUAUUUUAUUUAACUAUAACCGUUUUUUAUAAUUAAGUUAAACUAUAGUUAUGAAGCAUAAUUAACUAUCAUAUAUUAGCUUUAGUUAUGUAAUUUUCCCUAAAAAAAAUAUCAAGCCCCUCUUCUACUUCUAAAACACCAAAUAUUUCGAAGGCCUUUGCUCAUGAAAGAAUAAUCAUUUUAUUUGAAAAUUUGAAAGUUAAAAUUGUGUUUUACCAUAUAUUUUUUUUUGCACUAAAUAAAUAUAUAGAAUUUGCAGAUAUUUAAACUAAUUAACAAAACUAACUUCAACUACUGCACUAAGCACGUAGCCCACUCUCAUCACUUCCCAUCCACCAUUUGCACGUCACACACACAUGCACACAACCUAUCGUUUUUUGUUUUUGUUUUUUUUUAAAAAAAGAGAGUUAAUUAUCAUUAUAUUAAAAAAUAAUAAUUAAUCUUUGAAUUGAAAACUGAAAUUGGUUAAAUUAAUUAAUUUCUUCAUUUGAAUUGAGAUUUAAAAAAAAAAAAUACUAUUACAGUUAUUAUUAUUUUUUACAAUUGAGAGCCGUUUAAAUUAUUUAUUUUAAUUGAGAUUUUUUUUGGUGUGGCUGCAAGUAUUUUCUGGAUUAGUGUUGCUACAAUUAUUUUUUUAAAAUUCGAAUUUAAUCUAAAAACACAUAUUUAAAUGGUGAAAUAAAAUAUUUCGAAAAGUCUAACCGUAAAUUUUAUAUUGAAAUGAUUUAAUUUUUUUUAAUAAUAACAGAAAGAUAAGGAUUUGAAAUUUAAAUUUAAUACUUUUAAUUUUAAAGAUGGUUACAACUUUUUCACUAUAUAAUAACAGUAAGAGUUCAAGUUUUUUCUAUUACAAUUUUAGAGAAAGCUUUGUGCACAAGUAUUUGCUAAAUCAUGUUAGAAUAUCACCAUGCAUAUCGAUGUUGACUUGGAAUAAUUGACAAGUUCACGAUUAAUUAUUCAGAACUCUUAACUAAUAAACUAAAUUGGUGGUCUCUUUCCGGUAAGAAGUAAAAUUUUAUUUCUAUUACCUAAUUAACAUUAAUCCACAAGUAUCUAAUCACCUAAUCAACAAGAUAACAAUAAUUAAUCAAAUGAAAUUCCACAAAGUGGAGUUUGAAGAAGAAGAGUGACUCUUAUUUUACCACUCUCUCUUCAAGGUAAAGAGUAUACUUACGAAAGAUCUUCAACUCAAACAAAUCAAAGCAGUGAUCAAAAGAAAAACAUGACAACUAAUAGCAAAAUGAUGUGGAGCAUAUAUGCCAAAAAAAAACUGUAACAUUAACAAGAAGGUGCAGUCACCUAAACACAAUAAGCCACAUAUGAUAAUCAAAAACUCAAAACUAAAGACUACAUGAAUAUGUUUUUUACUACGAUCGACAACAGCUCAACCCAACCAAAGACUGGAAUAAAGCUAACCUUCUACCCUUACCCACAACCUCCGUACUCUCGUAUCUAAGGUUAUGCAUGUCCUAGAUAAGCUACAAUGCGUCAUAUCCUGCCUAAUCACUUAUCUCCAAUACUUCUUCCGCCUAUCACUGCCUCUCCCCGAACCCACUAUAUCAAGCCUCUUGCACCUCCCUAUUGGGGCAUCUACACAUCCCUCUUCACAUGCCCAGACCAUCUCAAUCUCCCUUCCCACACCAUAUAGACCAUUCUGAUUUCGUCUGGAAAGUCCUCAUCCUAUCGCUCCUAGUAUGCACUAUGCCCAUACAACCAUCUCAACAUCCUCAUUUUCCCACUUACAUCUUCUGAACCUGAAAGUUCUUGACUAGCCAAUACUUCGCCCCAUACGACAAAACCGAUCUAACCACUACUCUAUAAAAAUAUACCUUUAAACUUUGGUGAUACCUUCUUGUCACACAAAACCCAUAUGCAAGCCUCCCUUUCAUCCAUGCCGCAAUCUGAUUGACUAAUAAACAUUAAAAAACAAUUAUUAUUUUUUUUAAAAAAAAAUCAAAAAAAUUGAUAGUUUGAAAAAUAUAAAUGAGGUUAUAUACAAUUUUUGUUUGUCCAUCACUUAGGUCCAUGAUCUAUCACAAAUAACCACCACAACAAAACAAAAAUUAGAAAGAACAAGUCCAAGGCAGAGCAAUGGCGCAUAUAGCAGCAAUGGGCGUUUCCCAAAUUUCCUCUUCAAUAUACAUGCCGGAACUUCCACUCAAGUCUCAAAAUCUACAGCCCUCGUCCGUUUUCCUCAAGAGAUUCAGCGUAGCUCAUAAAAGAUUCAAUCUUGUUAAAGCUACCGUUGAUGGGUCUCCAUCCCCAGGUCUUUAUUCUGCUAAACAAUUCGAGCUCACCCCUGAAAACGUCGAUAUGGUUCUUGAAGAUGUUCGACCUUAUCUCAUUUCUGAUGGCGGAAACGUAGAGGUCGUUUCUGUGGAAGACGGUGUCGUUUCCCUCCAGCUUCAAGGUUAGUUUUUGUUUAUCCAAUUCGCUUGAUUUGUUGCUAGCACUUCAAUAUUACUCCAUUAGUCAUUAUUCAAUUGAGGGAUUACUUGUAGCAGGUAUCAAGUUGUUGUCUUUCUGAGUUAGUUUGAACUUUUGUUCUUGUAGAUGAAAUGCUUGUAUUGCCACAAAAAUUAACUCUUUACUCAAGGUUUGAGUUGGACCUCUACAGUUAUGGAUAUCUAUCACUAACCCAUCCAUCUUUCCUCAUGAAAAUUUGGUACUUGCACUCCUUUAGACAAGAAAUUUAACAAUCUUAUCAUUUCUGAUCACCUUGUACUCUAGGGAAGCUAUUUCCGAGUCUAUGUAAAUUGUUAGAAAUUCUUUGCUUUUGCAAGUCUGCAGCAUAAUAGAGCCAUGCCAAUGAAUUUUUUUGUUUUUGGUGGUGUCUGCAUUUGUGUUUUUAUUCUGGACUUAAUUGGAUGUGAAGAUGGAAUGUUAGAAUGAGGCAAAAGGAACAUAUCUCUGAGAAGUGAGAAGUUAUUUGAUUCUAUCCAUCAGAGGUUCUCACAGAGUUAACUAUAGGACUUAGUUACCAUUGUACUUUAUGUUUAGAUGAUGCUGAUGAUAGAUUAUGAUGUUAGUACAGGACAAGGCUCGGAAAUCUGGCAAAGAUGCUUCUAGUCUAAACUCUAAAGCAUGUAGUUAUGUGCUAUGCUAUCUAGUUUUUUUUUGAUAAGGUAAGAUUUUAUUAAAACAGUAUCAAGCUGAUACUGCGAAAGUAGUGAGAAAAUGCUGGCUUGAUUACAUUAAGAUCCUAAGCAGUCUAGUAUGUCCAUCAUGUUAUCUGAAUUCAUAAUAACAUCUCCAUCUUUCCAACAGUACAAGUGGUGCAAACAACUAUAUUUAACAGACUGUACUGCUCCCUUUUGCGUUCAAAACAUCUCUUAUUUCUUUGAUUCUUUCUUUCCAUAUAGUCCAAGCUAUGCUAAGAGGAAUAGCUCACCAAAUCUUCUUAAGGGAUGCUACUGGACAUGCAGUUUCCCAGCACUCUUAACACAUUCUUGAACUUCAUAGGACUUGUCCAAUGGAUGCCAAAGUUAGCUAGAACAUGGUCCACACUUGCCGAAUAAAUUCACAACACACAAGAAUAUGAUCCACAAAUCACAAGCUUUCUCACACAAGUAGCAUCUGCACAUUAUCGAACCCCUUCUCUCCAAAUUUUCUUGAGCUAGACAUGCCUCACGAGAUACUAGCUAACCCAAAGAAAGAACAACUUAUGUUGGGACUGUAGUCUUCCAGAUCAUCUUCCAAGGCUAUUUUAGUACUUGCACUGGCUAAAUAGCAUAAAGUAUUUUAUAGAAUGAGCUGACAGUAAAAGAACGUUCACAUUGCCGGUCCCAAGCCCAAAUAAAGGAGGGGGGUUGCUGAGGCCUGAGGGUCAAUCAGAAAUAGUCUCUCUACCCCAUAAAGACUGGGAUAAGGCUGUGUACAUCUGACCCCUCUCCAGACCCCACUUGUGGAGUUACACGGGUUUGUUAUUGUUGUUGAGCUGACAUUGAAAGAACCCUUUUUGCUAGCUUCCCAAAUUAGCCUAUUUUUACUUUCUAGAAUUAAGAUUUCUUUGCUUCUUCUGAAUAAAGAAAUCAACUUCUUCCAUUUUUUUGGCAAAGAGAUUCCUUCUGAGCUGGAAGGUCCACCCUCAAGUGCAGUGCUUGUUCUCUUUCAGCCUCACACGUCAACAAGGUAUCAUCAGCACAAAGACAAUGAGAACUUUCUGUAGAAUUUCCCGAAUGACCUGCCAUUUUAAAGCCUUUUAUCCAGCCACUUCUCACAGCAGUUUUAAUCAUCUGACUCAACCUCCAUUACUAAAAGAAAUAAGUGGGGAGAUAGUGGGUGACCUUGCCGUUGGCCUCUUUGAGAAUUCGACUAACCACUGGUACCUAGUAUCUUGAUGGGAGAUUGCGAUCAACAGUGCACAAUGGGUCCAUUGAGGGUAGUUUAGUGAAUUAUGUUCUCCCUGCCAGGGUUGUGAGGGGCUUACUAAGUUAUAAGUUGAAAAUUUUAGGAGGAUGGUGUAAUGCAUAAAUAUAUGAUGCCACAUCUCCUAGUAAACAACAAAGUAUAAGCUCUGGAAGGCUAUGGUCCCCACUCCAUUCUUGAAUGUACGCGAACAACUUCAAUGAUAUGGGGAUGCAUACAUGCAGCAACAAUUGGAGAAAAGCGUACUUGUAUCCUGAUUCUAUAGUCUUGGUUUUGAGUAAGCACUGGAUUAGAGUUGACAUUAUGUGUGCUGCAGAGAGAUGAACCCAAGAAACUAGUGUCGAAGUUCCUAUUUACGAAGUUUGAGAUUUAAUAAACUAAAAGCAAAUCUCAUAUGAAUUUUUGACUUAGUAUAUACUACUGCCUCCCUUCCACUUUGUUUGGCACUAUUUCGUUAUUCGUUUGUUCAGAAAAGAAUGCCACAUUUGACAUUCCUAUAUUUUCUUAAUGAGAAGAUUUUAUAAUAACAAAAUUGUUAUGGCAAGUGCUUAAGACAACAAAUUUCAGAAGUUCUAUAGCCACACAAAUAUUAUAGCACACUUAAGAUCACAAAGUUUGAUAGUCUUUCUCUCUUUACUAAACUUUGUGAUGUCAAACUAUGACAUACAAAGUGAAACGGGGCGUGGGAUGGGGUGAGUAACAAUUUCAAAGGGGUGGGGGGGGACUGCAGUUGGAUGCACCAAACUAUGUUGUAUGGCAAUUGCUACUUGCUCCUUCGAUUUGAUUUAGUUUAUUUUCUGUAAAAUACUUACUAAUAGAUUAGAAAAUGUUGUUUUUCCCUCAAUAGGGAAUUAAAUGAGUCUCCGAGCUUAACAGUUCCAAGCCAGCCUAAGCUUGCAGAAUAUGUUUGCCAAAUAAGGUAAGCCAAAUGGAGUUCAUGAAUAAUGGACAUUUAUUGAUUAAUGUUCAUUGAAUUUUUUUGUAAUAAUUAAUUUUCAGAUAUUUAUACUGGUUAACAACCAAUUCUUCUCUCUUAUUUCUGUUGAACACUUCCAAAACCUACACAUGCUUUAGUAGCCCCUAAACAAGGUAAACAUAAUAGGAUAGAGAUCUUUAUUUCCUCAUGCCUCUUGAUACCUUUCUAUCUUCCAGUAUACUUCACUGGAGUGGCUAAGCAGAACUUGCUUAGCGUAAAGCUAAAAUAUUUAAUUAAGAUAAGCUUGCAACAUUUGUUUAAAAAUCAGGUUUCUGUUUUUCUUUCUUGUGUUUAGGGUGUAUUUUUCUCGGAGUGUAGAAUAUAGUUUCUAUUUUUAUUGAGACAUUAUUAGUAAAUACUUCCCUCUCUCCCUCAUAAAAAAAGAUUUCCCCCCCAAGUGCCAUUAUAAAGAAAGUUAGGCCCGCAAUGUGGGGGUUAAAUAAAUGUGUCCUCUCUCACAGUUUAAACUUUUCAACGGUUGGGGUGGUUUAAAAUUCUACAAUUUCAAUUUUCCUAUGUUUGGCAGAACCCAAAGAGAGGAAUAUUAUAACAAAGGGUAAUAUUCAAAAACUCAGCAAAAUACCAAAAGUACAGAAGAAGGUUAAAACACAACAUUUAAUUUAAAAUAGAAGAAAAAGAUAGAGUACAAAUUUCGUAGCAAAUCAUGAAAUCAUUAUUCAUGGCUCUGACUUAAAAACCAUAUACAUGUAAAUACCAAAGAAAAAUAUCAGAGGAGGGAGGAGUAACUGGAAAUAAUAAAAUGUAUAGGGAGAGAGGAUCAGAUGAUUCAUUACAUACCAAUCAGGAUUUAUCCUGUCAAUAGAUUUGAAUCCGGAAUUCAAUUGUUAGCUUACUUCAUGUGAAUGAUCAAUAGUUGUUUCAUGGAGUGAGGAGUGAGGUGCCAUUUGGUGUGUCCUGCUAGAGUUAGAGGGUAAUGGUGGGCCCUUUGGAACAUGUCUUGAGCAACAUAACUGUUCAACAAAAUCUCAAAAAGAAGAAAUGGUUGUCAACUGCCAUGAUAUUUCUCCUUAAAUGUGCUAACGAGUUUGCUUAAGAAAUUUCUGAUACAUUUAUGGUGACGUUUGGAUUCAUAAAUGCUUAAUAUUUUGUAUGCAAUGGAUAUAGGAGCGUGCGAGAGUUGUCCUAGCGCAACAACUACAAUGAAGAUGGGGAUUGAAAAGGUACUCAAAGAAAAGUUUGGAGAAGCCAUCAAGGAUAUUCGCCAAGUAUACAAUGAACAAGUAGUUGAAACCACUGCUGAGGUGAAUAUUUGCAAAUUCUGUUGCUUAUAGAUGAUAUUGCAUUCAAAAUGUCUAACUAAGAACUCAUGUUCCUGCAGGCUGUGAAUGCUCACCUCGAUAUAUUAAGACCUGCCAUUAAAAAUUUUGGUGGUAGUGUGGAAGUUUUAUCAGUUGAGGAAGGCAAUUGCAAUGUGAAGUAUGUAGGGCCUGAGUCUAUUGGAUCAGGAGUCAAAGCAGCAAUCAAAGAGAAGUUCCCCGAUAUUGUCAAUGUUGUGUUCACUGACUAGCUUGCUUCGCGACAGUAUUUUGAGAAGUUCUUCUUUUGAACAUACUGUGAAGUUUAAUGCCAAUACUAUCGUCUGUUAUGUAGGAGAGAUGUAUAAUCCCAACCAUUUCGAGCAAACUUACAGUACAUGUUCACUAUGUAAAGAAACAACAGUAUGGAUGAAGUGGCCAAGUUUCUUCCCACCUCCACUAUUAUGUAUUGAUCAUGAGGAGAUUAUGAAAAAGAAGUAUUUUUUACAAUUCAAUUAUGCUGUUCGCAUUUAUAAUGUAGGUCAUUGUUGCAAAUCAAUUGUGCAGAACAUCUGAAUUUUCUCUCUAACUUGAUCUGGUCUCCUUUUAAAACAUGCACAAACAACGUUGAAAAACUCAUCUUACUUCAUCAAAUUAGGGCCAGGAAAUAAUAUGGAAGUAAAGAUAUCAGGCUUGUAAGAGUUGUGUUGUUGUCUAUUAGUUUGAGUUGAUUAUCGGCCUCAAUUAUAUGAAAUGCUUUAAAAGUAUGUAAUUAAAUUUUUUCCUCAUGUCCUGUAGUUUGCGAUGUUACCAAGCAAGAAGAAGAUUAGAUAUGAAGAGGUGCUUAUCAGAAAAGGUCACAACCAUUCAGAAAAGUCGCAACCAUUGGCACCUUUUAAAACCCAACGAAAUUUGAUGUGCCGUGUUGUACGAGAUUGAAGCAGACAAAGGUUGAAAACAGAUAUGGAGAAAAAAGGUACUGAUGGAGGGAAUGAAGAGACCAACAAACAAAUAGCAGAAUUAAAGGAUAAACUGUCCCUGAUUAAUUCGAGGAAGGAGGCUAAGGAACGCGAAGUUGAUGAUUUAAAGGAGAAGCUUAAGGACAUUCAAGAAGAGAUGAAGAAGAUACGUUCGAGUCUUUCUAAAUAAACCUCUGUAACUGCUCCCAGUAUGUCAAACAUUGAUGGUAUCUCUUCAAGUAUAGGUUGCUGCUAUUUCAUGAUUAAUGAUAUGUAAUAGUAAUAACUAGUAGUAUAAUCUGAAUCCGUUUCCAGUUUUUUUAUCUUCUGUUUUGUUUAAGAUUUUCGUCUACAUGCAUCAUGUUCUAAUUACAGGGUGUGUUAAAAUUUUCUCAUGUUUUUAAAUUUUUAUUAUUCUCUGUUUUCAGCGUACCCUUCAUUAAGAUUGUCAUUUGUUGAAAUAUUAGGAGAUGACAUCUCAAAUGGUGACUAAAUAACUUAGAAAGACACUGUGAUUAAAGCUUUGUUUCUCUUUUUGUAUACGUUAACCAUGUUAAUUACCCGCUCUUCGUACGGUCAUAGAUAAUGAUAUCGUAAUAAUACUUUGAUAAUAUCCAAAUAUAUAAUAAAAUAACUUAAAGUUCAUUUAUUGUAAAAAGUAAAAGUGAAGAUAAUAUCAUCCAACAAAAAUGAAGAGAUUUUCAAUAGUGUCACGUACCCAUUAAACAAGUAAUUUACGUUAGAGCUUUAAAAAAGGUAUUUUUUAUUUGAUAGUCACAAUUAAACCUUCACUAAUUUUAUAAAAAAAAUGUUUAAACUUUUAAAGUAUGGGUUGGUAGGAUCCACUUCAUACCAAUAAUAUCACUUUAUAUAUAGAUUACAAAGAAACAAAAUUACUAAAUUUAACUUAAUAAAAUUCUUAACAUAUAGAAAGCAUUAUCAUCUAAUAAUUCAAAAUUACUUCAUCUGGAAAAAAAUUAAAGAUAUGUCAAUGGAGAUUAAUAUCAUGAAGCUUAGCCUCAAUUUAAUCAGUAAGAUAACUAAGCUAAAGCUGUAUUUUAUUCUCUUAGAUAUAUUCUCUUUCAGUUUGCAUGCUGACUCCAUACAAUGUAUAGAUCAUCUCCAUUCAGGAGCAUAUGGUAACCUGUAGAACAAAUGAAAUAAAACACAAAACACAACUAAUAUCCAUGUCCCUGGACAUUUGAGUGCAUAAAUUAAUACAUUUAUGUAACUACACUACUAUGUAGUUUUACAUCCAUCAGAUACAAGAACCAUAUCUAUAUAUGAAAAGAAGAUAAUCCGGAAACAGAAGCAGCAGCAUCAAAUAUAUUAUGAUUCGCAAUCACUACACUUUCCGUUUCAGCUUCUAUGCAGUGUCAACUCAUAUCAGUCCAUCCUGGUAAGCAAUUUAAACGCGACUAAAGCACAACUACUUUGAUGUGUUAAUACAGAAACAGCCAACAACGGCUCAAUAAUUUAGUGACAUGCCAAAGAGACACGGUAGAAAGGUGAGGUUAACAUGCUAAUCACAACUAUAAGAUACAGAUGUAUAUACAGACUGCGGGGACUGUACUCUGAUGAAAAGGAGGACCUGAUCUCCAUAGAAAGGCAUUAGAGGGGCAUCUAACAUUUUUGUGCCACACAAAUGAGACAGCCACAUUUGAAAUUUUGAAAGGCUGGAUCAUGUUUCAUGCUGGAGCAAAUUCAAAAAGGCGCAGAACACAUGACAAAGAAGUUGAUUCAAGCAGCUUAUUAUACAGCUCCUUGUAGCUUUAGUCCUGAGUACACAGCAGAGGAAAGACAGGUGUAGAUGAGAUCAAGAAAAUUUACUACUAAACAAGCAAAAGAUUUAAGCUAUUUGGUACUAUCCUAUGGCUAAAUUUUCAAGCACUACUCCAAAUAAAGGAAGGCGUUGAGAUGGACAAUGCACUAACCCUCCAAUUCAUCCAUCUGAAGUUUUUAACUUGCGAGGCCGUUUUGACUGUGCUGGUGAAGAUGGAACUUCUGAUAAUCGUCCAGGCCCCUGGAUCCCCAAAUCAACAUAGUAGACUCUUAGAACUGUUUGGAUUAAUUUGAAGAUUCAUUAAAAAUAUUAACGACACAUACCUUGCGUUUCUGGUCCUUUUUACCAGCUCUUUCCCCUAUAGAACAUGAAAAUUAUUGGCACAAAAAGAUGAUGUUUGAGUUUGAAAGACAGAGAGAACAGUUUGAUCAUAAUGGAGUACACCUUUAACAGACAGCCCAAGUACUUCUGUCAUUUGCUUACCUCCAAAACUUGUAGAAUCGGGAAUGAAUGUUCUAUCUUGGUCCGUAGCACGUUGCGCACGCUGUCAACAAGCAGAUAUCAACUCCAUUACUCACAAACAAAAAGAUAUAUCUUUAUCUAAUUCAUCUCGCAGAACACCAAAAACUACUUAAAACAAAUAUAGUUUUUUAGAAAAAGGAAAGAGGUUGGUUACAGAGUUAUAAGCAGCAUCCUCACCUUAGGAGGUGUACCAGGUGUUUCAGAAUAUGAACCUUCCCGAUAAGAUGAGCCUUCUGCCUCUUUGUAUUGUACCUGAUUUUCAAGACAAGCAUUAACAAAAUUGGGUCAUUGGCCUCUUCUGAUAAGAUAGAAGUGAAAACUGUCGUCAUUGAAGCUCUAACCUUGCAAAUGAAGCAUCUCCAAACACAUAUGAAAACAAUACAUACACAGAAGGGGGGAGAUGGUUUUGAACCAAAAUGUGUGUGUCUGUGUGUGUGUGAGAGAGAGAGAGAGAGAUGAAAAUGGAAGUCCAUCUAAUCAGAAAUGAUGGAAAAUAAUAUACUGAAAAAGCAUAGGAGACAAAUUGGUCAGAUAAACCUCAAACUCUUUUUGGGAUAUCUGACAUAUUUGUGUCAAAUAUCCCUUUUUUAUUUGCCUUGGUGAUGGAUAGAUUAAUAUGAAAAAUUCAAGGUGCGGUGCCAUGGUGUAGGUUAUUUAGGAUAACAUAGUUCUCAUUGUCGAGACUCGCGGCAGAGUUAAUGCUAAGUUGGAGGUUUGGAGACAAACCUUAAGAGUCUAAAAAGUUCAGGUUGAGCACAACCAAGACAAAGCAUUUGAGUGCAAGUUCAGUCACGUAAUGCAUGAAGCUAACGUGAAAGUGAGACUUGAUACACAAAUCAUCCAAAAGAGAGGAAAUUUAAAGUAUCUUGAGUUUAUUAUCCAAGGAAAUGGAAUUGACGAGGAUGUUAUUCACCGUAUUGGUGAAGGGUGGAUGAAGUGGCUAACAUCUAAAGUCUUGUGUGAUACGAAGUUGCCACUAGUUCUACAGAGUGUUAUUUAGAUCAACUAUGUUGUAUGGAGCGGAGUGUUGGCCAAUCAAGAACUCUCACAUUCAGAAGAUGAAAGUUGUGGAAAUGACAAUGUUGCGAUGGAUGUGUGGGGAUACUAAGAGAUAUACGAUUAAGAAUAAGGAUAUCCGAGAUAAGGUAGGAGUGUCUUCAGUAGAUGACAAGAUGCAGGAAGAAAGACUAAGAUGGUUUGGGCAUGUGAAGAGGAGAUGCACAAAUUCCCCAGUGUAGAGGUGUGUGAGAAGUAGGGUAUGAAUGACUUCAGGAGAGGUAGAGUUAGACUGAAGAAGUAUUGGGAAGAGGUGAUUAGACAAGACGUGAUACAGUUUCAGCUUACCGAGGACAUGACUUUAGAUAAGAGGGAGUAGAGGCCACGUAUUAGGGUAAAAUAGUAGUAGGUAUCAAUGCAUUGUCUUUUUUUUUUUUUAAGUUGGUAACUCAAUGCAUUGUCUUCCUGUCUGUUCAUAUUAGUAGUCAUAGUAUUACUAAUUUCUGUUACUAUCUGUUGAUUCCUUGUACCUCGAUUAUCAUAUUGUUUCAUUGUAGUUUUGUUUUAGUUAUUAUCUGAUGUUUCUCAUCAUUUUGUUACUUCUUUUUCUAGAUUGAUUUGGCUUGUUUUUCCUAGAGCCGAGGGUCUAUCGAAAACAACCUUUCUACCUCUGAGAUAGGGGUAAGGUUUGUGUACUUUACCCUCACCAAACUCCAAUUUGUGAGACUACAAUGGGUAUAUUUUUGUUGUUGACAUAUACUUGUGUUUCUUUCUCCUAGAUAGUUUACUUCUUUGCAGCAAAUUAAUUGAAAUUGAAUGGUUUCCAAUUGCUGCUAAGUAAUUGUUUGAUAGCUAGUUGAGGAUAGGUUUUAGACUUGUUAAAGAACUUCUAUUAUUAUUAUUGUUAUUAUUAUUAUUAUUAUUACAAUAUAUUUAACUUAUUUUUCAAAUUAAUUUUAUUUAGUAUGAUGAUAAUAUGAAUUGAGCUUGAAUGAAAGUGAGAAUUCAUAAAGCCGAUCUCAACUUGUUUGGGAUUGAGAUGUGUUGUUGUUAAUCAUUUGAUAUAUGCGGCAAAUUAUUCUGUGUGAGCAACUGAGCACCCAGAAUUCCAAGACUCAGCCGAUCUUCCCUUGAGCACACAACUCCAGGGUUUGCCUGUACUAGACAAUGAUAUUUAACGAGAGAUGCUUCAUUAUGAAACAAAACAUAAGGCAACACAAAGAAGACAUUUUUUUUAAUGAUAUUCAAACAGUCGUAAAAUGUUAUCUCAAAAUGUUCUUUAGUCUGAACUCUAUAGCCAAACCUAACUCGUGAUCAAAAAAAUUGUUGAAAGCAUACACUAAUAAAAUAAAAUGCCAAAUACCUGCUUUUGAAGAUUUAACAGGGUUAGUAUCUCUUUCCUCAGUUCAAGAUGCUCUGCACAGACAAGUUUUGUUGGGACCUUUGGCUUCAAAUUAACCUACAGAUGGGAAAAGAACAUAGCUUCCCAGUCAAAUUAGUGGGGAAAUAUUUAUCAUUCUAUAAGGCACUAAGGCAGUUAAACCAGGAGGGACAAGAAAGAAAAGAAAAAUGCUUAGGAACAUCAAAAUUGGUGGGAGAAAAUGUAGAACUUUUGCCACACGUAAAAUUGUAAUCUGACAGAACAAGUCUGGAUAAUCAGAUAACUGAGAUUUCACGAUGUAAUAGAACUUGAUCCACAUGUAAAAUGGCACCCCAACAACACAAGUCCUGAUCAUUAGACAGCUGAGAUUGCACCUCUGAUGAUGUGUUAAAAAUCUGGGCCAGGAUAAACUCCACAGUGGUUCCAAA
Molecule: long non-coding RNA, 13670 nt
Filed under: Solanum tuberosum (potato)
Lineage: Eukaryota; Viridiplantae; Streptophyta; Magnoliopsida; Solanales; Solanaceae
Description: long non-coding RNA (STUB_LNC002020)
Source: RNAcentral